This 468-nucleotide ribosomal RNA is filed under the name uncultured eukaryote. RNAcentral describes it as "bacterial SSU rRNA". It matches the Rfam family "Eukaryotic small subunit ribosomal RNA", at positions 728 to 1118 of the family's 1831-position model. The record is from RNAcentral.
CGGGACGGGGCCGCCCCGCGAGGGACGGCGCCGCCCCGGGGCUCGUGAUAUCUCAUCUCGCCGCCCGUCGCGAGGCGGACGGAGGGAUGGAUGAGGUUACCUGGAAAAAUCGGGGCGAUCUAGGCGGGCGAACCUCGCCAACGAACGAUCGGACAUGGGAUAACGGAAGAGGGCGUCGGCUCGACUUCGUCGGUUCCUCGGGCCGAGGCACGUACGGUGAAUAGGGACGGUCGGGGCCGCCCGUACCGGGUCGUGAGAGGUGAAAUUCUAGGAUCGACCCGAGACGAACCGCCGCGAAAGCAUUCGGCAAGGACGCUUUCAUUAAUCAAGAACGAAAGUCGGGGGAUCGAAGACGAUCAGAUACCGUCGUAGUCCCGACCGUAAACGAUGCCGACCGAGGGCCCCGGAGGAGUUACGUACGACCCUCCGGGCCCUCCCGCGAGAAAUCAGGAGUAUUCGGGUUCCGGG